This is a long non-coding RNA of Folsomia candida, 985 nucleotides long. RefSeq lists it as uncharacterized. The transcript is spliced from 3 exons. The record is from RefSeq and is a predicted model, not a curated record. NCBI's taxonomy places the organism in Eukaryota, Metazoa, Arthropoda, Collembola, Entomobryomorpha, Isotomidae.
AGAUCUAUGAUUGUCCGCAAUGGCGGUACAAGUGGUCACGUAGGUCGCCGGCGUGGUCGUGUCUGGUGGACUGGGGCACUCGUAGAUGGCGUCAAGUAGGCAUCCAUCCUCCUCAUCGUACUUGAUCAUCUGCAUUAUAUCCUGAAAAGAAGUUAACAAAUACACUCAAAAUAAUUUAUUCACAACAUUUCCUCUAGUAUAUACGCUAUGCACUUCGGAUACAAUUUGUCACCGCAUGCGGUAGCAAACACGUUGUGGCUGAAUCCUGGAAGAGUGUCACCGAACUGGGAAUAAAAUUUUGUCAAAUCUGGGGACAAUUGAUUGCCGGUGUUUCGUUUCUACCGCAAGGAAUGCAAAAACUCCAGCUAACAACGCGCCCUAUUUAUCUUCUGGCUACACAAUGUUGGUUUCUGGAUUUUAUGUAAAACCGAGGGCUUACAAGACGUACCGAUCACUUCGACAACCCUACAACUUAAUUCAUGAGUAUAUCAGUGUGCAGAUGAUAUUCAAACAAGUCAUGUCAAUAUAUGGAUUCUGGUUGCUUGUCAUGCACGCGUUCAUGGGGCAGUUUGCGUUAUUUUGCAAUUAUUCUGUAAUCAAGUACUGGGACCAAUUGAAUCCGUUAACCAGGUCUGGAGCGCGGUAGUUCUAAUCCCUUGGAUUUCAUUCCUCCACGUGUCCGGGAACUUUUACCAAUUAUCGCAGAGAACUUUGAAAUCUUGGAAGGAAAUUAAAUGUAGAAAUACAUUGGAAAGAAAAUAUCUGUCAAAAUCGAGAAAGGCAUGUCGACCAUUGAAAGUGGGGGCGGACGGUGUAUUCACAAUUAAACGAUUGACUGUGUUGAAGUUCAUUAGAGGAAUUAUAAAGGGGACUUUUAGGGCAAUGAUGACCAUUGGAAGGAAAUGAAUUGUCUGCAACAAAUUAUGUUUAUGUACAACGCUAUUAAAAUAAUUCGCUAAAUAAAAAUAAUGCUGAAUAUGUUAUG